CACAAUGGCGUAGCAGUCUUGGCAGUGUCUCUUCUGAUAACGGUGUGGUUCUUCUGAUAAUGCUGCUGGACGAGUAUGCAGGGCCGCAUUGUCUUCUCCAGCUCCGCAUCGGCGUCGUGGGCUGGAGGACGUUACUUCUGUGUUGGCUAUUUCCUCCGGCGAGGUUAGUUUUUCUGUGGUUGCGCGUGAGCGUGACCACCAGACUGCUUCUUUGCCUGUUGCCCGUGGCCGUGGCUUCUUUGCCUAUUGCUCAUCCAGUGUCUCCACCUAUUGCACGGUCUGUGCUUCGCUUUUCCUUGGAUGGGUUUGUACCCGUUUCAUCGCCUCUUGAAGCUGAUGCGUGGAGGAGACCGGAGAUUUGGUUGGGCAAGCGGCCUGUCCAUCCUAUACCUAUAACAAUAUCAUUGACAGUACUAGAGGUGGCAGUAUUUCGGUUCCCCUUGCUCCUGCUGGUUCAUCAUUGCCACAAUUGUUUGGACCUGGUUCUUCAGAUUUUGGUGCCUUUCAUAUCCUGGUUUCUUUGUUGUGUACUUCUUUUUGGGGGCUGUCCUGUGAUGUGAAGAAGUGUCAUUUAGUAUGUAUAUUAAGGUUUAGAAAAUGAAUGGGUUUUGCGUUUCUUUUUAGAGACUGCCCUGUGACACAAAGAAUAGGCAUCGAGUAUCUAUCUUAAUGUUUAAAGCAUGCCGCUUAUUUG
Molecule: long non-coding RNA, 694 nt
Organism: Lolium rigidum
Lineage: Eukaryota; Viridiplantae; Streptophyta; Magnoliopsida; Poales; Poaceae
Exons: 2
Source: RefSeq, a predicted model, not a curated record